RNAcentral lists this ribosomal RNA (569 nucleotides) under uncultured fungus. RNAcentral describes it as "eukaryotic LSU rRNA". The stretch from base 159 to 312 matches the Rfam family "5.8S ribosomal RNA". The record is from RNAcentral. Lineage: Eukaryota; Fungi.
CAUUAGUGAAUAUAGGACGUCCAACUUAACUUGGAGUCCGAACUCUCACUUUCUAACCCUGUGCACUUGUUUGGGAUAGUAACUCUCGCAAGAGAGCGAACUCCUAUUCACUUAUAAACACAAAGUCUAUGAAUGUAUUAAAUUUUAUAACAAAAUAAAACUUUCAACAACGGAUCUCUUGGCUCUCGCAUCGAUGAAGAACGCAGCGAAAUGCGAUAAGUAAUGUGAAUUGCAGAAUUCAGUGAAUCAUCGAAUCUUUGAACGCACCUUGCGCUCCAUGGUAUUCCGUGGAGCAUGCCUGUUUGAGUGUCAUGAAUACUUCAACCCUCCUCUUUCUUAAUGAUUGAAGAGGUGUUUGGUUUCUGAGCGCUGCUGGCCUUUACGGUCUAGCUCGUUCGUAAUGCAUUAGCAUCCGCAAUCGAACUUCGGAUUGACUUGGCGUAAUAGACUAUUCGCUGAGGAAUUCUAGUCUUCGGACUAGAGCCGGGUUGGGUUAAAGGAAGCUUCUAAUCAGAAUGUCUACAUUUUAAGAUUAGAUCUCAAAUCAGGUAGGACUACCCGCUGAACUU